This 71-nucleotide transfer RNA is filed under the name Hetaerina occisa. Its description in RNAcentral is "tRNA-Val". The record is from RNAcentral. Lineage: Eukaryota; Metazoa; Arthropoda; Insecta; Odonata; Calopterygidae.
AAUUUAUAGUUCUAUUAGGGAAUUUUCUACUUACACUAGAAAGGGUCCUGUGCAAUUCAGGAUUAAUUGAU